Molecule: ribosomal RNA, 255 nt
Filed under: uncultured bacterium
Lineage: Bacteria
Description: partial 16S ribosomal RNA
Rfam family: Bacterial small subunit ribosomal RNA
Source: RNAcentral
UACAGAGGUCUCAAGCGUUGUUCGGAUUCAUUGGGCGUAAAGGGUGCGUAGGCGGCGCGGUAAGUCGGGUGUGAAAUCUCGGAGCUUAACUCCGAAACUGCAUUCGAUACUGCCGUGCUUGAGGACUGGAGAGGAGACUGGAAUUUACGGUGUAGCGGUGGAAUGCGUAGAGAUCCGGAAGAACACCGGUGGCGAAGGCGGCCUGCUGGGCAGUGUUGCUGACACUGAGGCGCGACAGCGUGGGGAGCAAACAGG